UCCCCGUUGGCCGGGGCAGUCUCGCCUGAAAAAUUCAACAGACGAUAAGGGUUGCGCUCGUUGCGGGACUUAACCCAACAUCUCACGACACGAGCUGACGACGGCCAUGCAGCACCUGUCACCAGGUUCCCGAAGGCACAGCACUGUUUCCAGCGCCUUCCUGGGAUGUCAAGCCUUGGUAAGGUUCUUCGCGUAGCAUCGAAUUAAACCACAUCAUCCACCGCUUGUGCGGGUCCCCGUCAAUUCCUUUGAGUUUUAAGCUUGCGCUCGUACUCCCCAGGCGGGAUGCUUAUCGCGUUAGCUUCUCAGCCCAAGGGGUCGAUACCUCGAACUAAUAGCAUCCAUCGUUUACGGCGUGGACUAC
This 364-nucleotide unclassified non-coding RNA is filed under the name uncultured bacterium. RNAcentral describes it as "contains 16S-23S intergenic spacer region". The record is from RNAcentral.